This 253-nucleotide ribosomal RNA is filed under the name uncultured bacterium. RNAcentral's name for it is "partial 16S ribosomal RNA". It matches the Rfam family "Bacterial small subunit ribosomal RNA", at positions 524 to 776 of the family's 1533-position model. The record is from RNAcentral.
UACUGAGGUGGCAAGCGUUGUUCGGAAUUACUGGGCGUAAAGGGCGCGUAGGCGGUUCGUUAAGUCCUGUGUGAAAUCCCCCGGCUCAACUGGGGAACUGCACAGGAAACUAGCGGGCUUGAGUUCGGGAGAGGGAAGCGGAAUUCCGGGUGUAGCGGUGAAAUGCGUAGAUAUCCGGAGGAACACCGGUGGCGAAGGCGGCUUCCUGGACCGACACUGACGCUGAGGCGCGAAAGCUAGGGGAGCAAACGGG